This 240-nucleotide unclassified non-coding RNA is filed under the name uncultured fungus. Its description in RNAcentral is "partial contains 5.8S ribosomal RNA, internal transcribed spacer 2, and large subunit ribosomal RNA". The stretch from base 1 to 52 matches the Rfam family "5.8S ribosomal RNA", at positions 103 to 154 of the family's 154-position model. Lineage: Eukaryota; Fungi. The record is from RNAcentral.
AACGCACAUUGCGCCCCUUGGUAUUCCGAGGGGCAUGCCUGUUCGAGCGUCAUUAUGACCAACUCAAGCUCAGCUUGGUAUUGGGGCUCCGCGGUCUCGCGGCCCCUAAAAUCAGUGGCGGCACCGCCCGGCUCUAAGCGUAGUAACUUUCUCGCUAUGGACCCCGGGUGGCUGCUCGCCAGCAACCUCUAAAUACUCACGGUUGACCUCGGAUCAGGUAGGGAUACCCGCUGAACUUAA